GAUGAAGAACGCAGCGAAAUGCGAUACUUGGUGUGAAUUGCAGAAUCCCGUGAACCAUCGAGUUUUUGAACGCAAGUUGCGCCCGAAGCCGUUAGGCCGAGGGCACGCCUGCCUGGGUGUCACACAUCGUUGCCCCCCCAUCUACUCCUUCGGGAUUGCGGGGGGCGGAUGAUGGCCUCCCGUGCGCCUCGUCGCGCGGUUGGCAUAAAUGCCAAGUCCUCGGCGACGCACGCCACGACAAUCGGUGGUUGCGAAACCUCGGUUGCCCGUCGUGUGCGGUCGUCGCGCAUCGAGGGCUCGAAAAAAUUGCCGGGCUCCGGCUCGGCUUUCAACGCGACCCCAGGUCAGGCGGGGUUACCCGCUGAAUUUAAGCAUAUCAAUAAGCGGAGGA
RNAcentral lists this unclassified non-coding RNA (391 nucleotides) under soil metagenome. Its description in RNAcentral is "partial contains 5.8S ribosomal RNA, internal transcribed spacer 2, and large subunit ribosomal RNA". The stretch from base 1 to 122 matches the Rfam family "5.8S ribosomal RNA", at positions 35 to 154 of the family's 154-position model. The record is from RNAcentral.